RNAcentral lists this unclassified non-coding RNA (447 nucleotides) under Hevea brasiliensis (rubber tree). The record is from RNAcentral. Lineage: Eukaryota; Viridiplantae; Streptophyta; Magnoliopsida; Malpighiales; Euphorbiaceae.
AGCAUGGAAGCCACAACUUUAGCCCCAAGUAGAGGAUGCCCCGUAUAGUACCCUAAAAUCCGGAACAGAAAACCAACUACAAUAGGUGAUAUAAUAGCCAAAGCACCAGGCUUAAUCAUCUCCCUCAAAGAAGCAGAUGCCACAAUUGCGACACAGCGACCAUAGUCUUAUAGCCUUGGCCGACAGGCAAUACCAGGCCUCUCAAUAAACUGCCUCCUUACUUCAUUAACAACCUCCUGAGCAGUUCGGCCAACAGCUGAGCAGGCCCAUCCACUGAACAAGAAAAUAAGCAUAGAGCCCAACAAUCCACCAAUAAAAACUUCAGGAAUGGCAAUAUCAACCUGGUUGAAAGGUUCAUGGGAAAAUGCAGCAACCUCAUCCAUAUAAGCACUAAAUAGAAGGAAAGAUGCAAGUGCGGCAGAUCCAAUGGCAAAACCUUUGGUUGUA